Molecule: ribosomal RNA, 615 nt
Filed under: uncultured bacterium
Lineage: Bacteria
Description: bacterial SSU rRNA
Rfam family: Bacterial small subunit ribosomal RNA
Source: RNAcentral
UGGCGGCAUGCCUAACACAUGCAAGUCGAACGAGACCUUCGGGUCUAGUGGCGCACGGGUGCGUAACGCGUGGGAAUCUGCCCUUGGGUUCGGAAUAACUCAGAGAAAUUUGAGCUAAUACCGGAUGAUGACGAAAGUCCAAAGAUUUAUCGCCCAAGGAUGAGCCCGCGUAAGAUUAGCUUGUUGGUGGGGUAAUGGCCCACCAAGGCGACGAUCUUUAGCUGGUCUGAGAGGAUGAUCAGCCACACUGGGACUGAGACACGGCCCAGACUCCUACGGGAGGCAGCAGUGGGGAAUAUUGGACAAUGGGCGAAAGCCUGAUCCAGCAAUGCCGCGUGAGUGAUGAAGGCCUUAGGGUUGUAAAGCUCUUUUACCAGGGAUGAUAAUGACAGUACCUGGAGAAUAAGCUCCGGCUAACUCCGUGCCAGCAGCCGCGGUAAUACGGAGGGAGCUAGCGUUGUUCGGAAUCACUGGGCGUAAAGCGUGCGUAGGCGGUGACUCAAGUCAGAGGUGAAAGCCUGGAGCUCAACUCCAGAACUGCCUUUGAAACUAGGUCGCUAGAACAUCGGAGAGGUGAGUGGAAUUCCGAGUGUAGAGGUGAAAUUCGUAGAUAUU